Molecule: transfer RNA, 71 nt
Filed under: Crassvirales sp.
Lineage: Duplodnaviria; Heunggongvirae; Uroviricota; Caudoviricetes; Crassvirales
Description: tRNA-Asp
Rfam family: tRNA
About the family: Transfer RNA (tRNA) molecules are approximately 80 nucleotides in length. Their secondary structure includes four short double-helical elements and three loops (D, anti-codon, and T loops).
Source: RNAcentral
GGCUAUGUGGUGUAAAGAUUUGCAUAUCACACUGUCAAUGUGGAGGAUAGGGUUCAAUUCCCUCAUAGUCU